This 513-nucleotide long non-coding RNA is filed under the name Rhinopithecus bieti (black snub-nosed monkey). RNAcentral describes it as "lncRNA (ENSRBIG00000045193.1)". The record is from RNAcentral. Lineage: Eukaryota; Metazoa; Chordata; Mammalia; Primates; Cercopithecidae.
UGCCUGAAUUCUGUCAUUUUCUUCCUGGGUGAGUGAAUUUCAACUAAGUGCCUUCUCUCUGUGAAUUUCUCUUUGUUUUCCCCAGGAGCUGUAGCUGCAAGCAGCACAUCUCUGAGAACUUGGCACUUAGUGGUAUCAGCAAGGCAAAGCCCUUGGGACCAUUUGGCUCACACCUGCAGCUGUCACACUCUAUCCUCAGCUUUUAGGAAAAGGAGUUUGAAGGGCAUUUCAGCACGUAGCCCUGCCUGUGGGCCCGACACAGGUCUGGAGGGGAAGUUCUUGCCCCUAAGUCCUGGGGGCACUGGGUAGACACCUGAGGACCUCAGUAAACAAGAAGGCUGGAUGCAGAUUUUCUCCUUGACACUAUGGCCAAGUAAAGCUGAGUCACUGCUCUCCCAUGCUGAUGAUGCUCUCCUGUGAAUCUUCUCUCUCUUAAGGACCCCAGGAAUCAUGAAGGCAGGUAGGCAUAAGGACCCUGAAUAGCCUCUGUAGUUAUAAAUAGCAAUAACCACA